GAUGAACGCUGGCGGUAUGCUUAACACAUGCAAGUCGAACGGUCUUUUCGGAGAUAGUGGCGGACGGGUGAGUAACACGUGAGAACCUACCUUCAGAAUGGGGAUAACAGUUGGAAACGACUGCUAAUACCCGAUGUGCCGAAAGGUGAAAGAUUUAUCGUCUGAAGAUGGGCUCGCGGCUGAUUAGCUAGUUGGAAGUGUAAGAGACUCCCAAGGCGACGAUCAGUAACUGGUCUGAGAGGAUGAGCAGUCACACUGGAACUGAGAAACGGUCCAGACUCCUACGGGAGGCAGCAGUGGGGAAUUUUCCGCAAUGGGCGAAAGCCUGACGGAGCAAUACCGCGUGAGGGAGGAAGGUUCUUGGAUUGUAAACCUCUUUUCUAGGGGAAUAAAAAAAUGAAGGUACCCUAGGAAUAAGCAUCGGCUAACUCCGUGCCAGCAGCCGCGGUAAUACGGAGGAUGCAAGCGUUAUCCGGAAUUAUUGGGCGUAAAGAGUCCGUAGGUGGAAGUUCAAGUCUGUCGUUAAAGAAUGGAGCUUAACUCCAUAAAGGCGGUGGAAACUGAACAACUAGAGUGCGGUAGGGGUAACGGGAAUUCCCAGUGUAGCGGUGAAAUGCGUAGAUAUUGGGAAGAACAUCGGUGGCGAAAGCGCGUUACUGGGCCGAAACUGACACUGAGGGACGAAAGCUAGGGUAGCGAAAGGGAUUAGAUACCCCUGUAGUCCUAGCCGUAAACGAUGGAUACUAGGCGUAGC
RNAcentral lists this ribosomal RNA (754 nucleotides) under uncultured cyanobacterium. Its description in RNAcentral is "bacterial SSU rRNA". It matches the Rfam family "Bacterial small subunit ribosomal RNA", at positions 28 to 826 of the family's 1533-position model. Lineage: Bacteria; Bacillati; Cyanobacteriota. The record is from RNAcentral.